Molecule: ribosomal RNA, 2224 nt
Filed under: Vibrio parahaemolyticus
Lineage: Bacteria; Pseudomonadati; Pseudomonadota; Gammaproteobacteria; Vibrionales; Vibrionaceae
Description: partial 23S ribosomal RNA
Rfam family: Bacterial large subunit ribosomal RNA
Source: RNAcentral
CGUAGGGAAACCGAGUCUUAACUGGGCGUUCAGUCUCUGGAUAUAGACCCGAAACCAGGUGAUCUAGCCAUGGGCAGGUUGAAGGUUGAGUAACAUCAACUGGAGGACCGAACCGACUAAUGUUGAAAAAUUAGCGGAUGACUUGUGGCUAGGGGUGAAAGGCCAAUCAAACCUGGAGAUAGCUGGUUCUCCCCGAAAGCUAUUUAGGUAGCGCCUCGGACGAAUACUACUGGGGGUAGAGCACUGUUAAGGCUAGGGGGUCAUCCCGACUUACCAACCCUUUGCAAACUCCGAAUACCAGUAAGUACUAUCCGGGAGACACACGGCGGGUGCUAACGUCCGUCGUGGAGAGGGAAACAACCCAGACCGCCAGCUAAGGUCCCAAAUUACUACUAAGUGGGAAACGAUGUGGGAAGGCUCAGACAGCCAGGAUGUUGGCUUAGAAGCAGCCAUCAUUUAAAGAAAGCGUAAUAGCUCACUGGUCGAGUCGGCCUGCGCGGAAGAUGUAACGGGGCUAAGUAGUAAACCGAAGCUGCGGCAAUGUGCUUUUGCACAUUGGGUAGGGGAGCGUUCUGUAAGCGGUUGAAGGUGUGUGGUAACGCAUGCUGGACGUAUCAGAAGUGCGAAUGCUGACAUGAGUAACGAUAAAGGGGGUGACCCCUAAGGCGAGGCCGAAAGGCGUAGUCGAUGGGAAACGGGUUAAUAUUCCCGUACUUCUUACAAUUGCGAUGGGGGGACGGAGAAGGCUAGGUGGGCCUGGCGACGGUUGUCCAGGUUCAAGUGCGUAGGCUUAAGAGUUAGGUAAAUCCGGCUCUUUUUAAGGCUGAGACACGACGUCGAGCAUCUACGGAUGUGAAGUCAUUGAUGCCAUGCUUCCAGGAAAAGCCUCUAAGCUUCAGAUUGUAAGGAAUCGUACCCCAAACCGACACAGGUGGUCGGGUAGAGAAUACCAAGGCGCUUGAGAGAACUCGGGUGAAGGAACUAGGCAAAAUGGUACCGUAACUUCGGGAGAAGGUACGCUCUCGACGGUGAAGUCCCUCGCGGAUGGAGCUAUUGAGAGUCGCAGAUACCAGGUGGCUGCAACUGUUUAUUAAAAACACAGCACUGUGCAAAAUCGUAAGAUGACGUAUACGGUGUGACGCCUGCCCGGUGCCGGAAGGUUAAUUGAUGGGGUUAGACUUCGGUCGAAGCUCUUGAUCGAAGCCCCGGUAAACGGCGGCCGUAACUAUAACGGUCCUAAGGUAGCGAAAUUCCUUGUCGGGUAAGUUCCGACCUGCACGAAUGGCGUAAUGAUGGCCACGCUGUCUCCACCCGAGACUCAGUGAAAUUGAAAUCGCUGUGAAGAUGCAGUGUACCCGCGGCUAGACGGAAAGACCCCGUGAACCUUUACUACAGCUUGGCACUGAACAUUGACCCUACAUGUGUAGGAUAGGUGGGAGGCUUUGAAGCACGUACGCCAGUAUGUGUGGAGCCGUCCUUGAAAUACCACCCUUGUAGUGUUGAUGUUCUAACGUCGACCCCUUAUCGGGGUUGCGGACAGUGCCUGGUGGGUAGUUUGACUGGGGCGGUCUCCUCCCAAAGAGUAACGGAGGAGCACGAAGGUGGGCUAAUCACGGUUGGACAUCGUGAGGUUAGUGCAAUGGCAUAAGCCCGCUUGACUGCGAGAAUGACAAUUCGAGCAGGUGCGAAAGCAGGUCAUAGUGAUCCGGUGGUUCUGAAUGGAAGGGCCAUCGCUCAACGGAUAAAAGGUACUCCGGGGAUAACAGGCUGAUACCGCCCAAGAGUUCAUAUCGACGGCGGUGUUUGGCACCUCGAUGUCGGCUCAUCACAUCCUGGGGCUGAAGUCGGUCCCAAGGGUAUGGCUGUUCGCCAUUUAAAGUGGUACGCGAGCUGGGUUUAGAACGUCGUGAGACAGUUCGGUCCCUAUCUGCCGUGGGCGUUGGAAGAUUGAAGGGGGCUGCUCCUAGUACGAGAGGACCGGAGUGGACGAACCUCUGGUGUUCGGGUUGUGUCGCCAGACGCAUUGCCCGGUAGCUAAGUUCGGAAUCGAUAACCGCUGAAAGCAUCUAAGCGGGAAGCGAGCCCUGAGAUGAGUCUUCCCUGAUACUUUAAGUAUCCUAAAGGGUUGUCGGAGACUACGACGUUGAUAGGUCAGGUGUGUAAGUGCUGUGAGGCAUUGAGCUAACUGAUACUAAUUGCCCGUGAGGCUUAACCAUACAACACC